Molecule: ribosomal RNA, 513 nt
Filed under: uncultured bacterium
Lineage: Bacteria
Description: partial 16S ribosomal RNA
Rfam family: Bacterial small subunit ribosomal RNA
Source: RNAcentral
GAUGAACGCUGGCGGCGUGCCUAAUACAUGCAAGUCGAGCGAACAGACGAGGAGCUUGCUCCUCUGGCGUUAGCGGCGGACGGGUGAGUAACACGUGGAUAACCUACCUAUAAGACUGGGAUAACUUCGGGAAACCGGAGCUAAUACCGGAUAAUAUAUUGAACCGCAUGGUUCAAUAGUGAAAGACGGUUUUGCUGUCACUUAUAGAGGGAUCCGCGCCGCAUUAGCUAGUUGGUAAGGUAACGGCUUACCAAGGCAACGAUGCGUAGCCGACCUGCGAGGGGGAUCGGCCACACUGGAACUGAGACACGGUCCAGACUCCUACGGGAGGCAGCAGUAGGGAAUCGUCCGCGAUGGGCGAAAGCCUGACGGAGCAACGCCGCGUGAGUGAUGAAGGUCUUCGGAUCGUAAAACUCUGUUAUUAGGGAAGAACAAAUGUGUAAGUAACUAUGAACGUCUUGACGGUACCUAAUCAGAAAGCCACGGCUAACUACGUGCCAGCCGCCGCAGUAA